This is an RNA transcript of Plodia interpunctella (Indianmeal moth), 3337 nucleotides long. RefSeq lists it as uncharacterized. NCBI's taxonomy places the organism in Eukaryota, Metazoa, Arthropoda, Insecta, Lepidoptera, Pyralidae. The transcript is spliced from 14 exons. The record is from RefSeq and is a predicted model, not a curated record.
ACAGAAGCGUAAAUAAUCGUGUUAAUUUCAUAUAUAUUUGUCUCCCUAGUUUUAGAAAGGGCCCACUGAACGCGGGGCGCGCUGUUUGUCUCCCAGAUAAACUUUCAAUCCGACUGUUGGUACGCUGAUACCCGCAGCUCACCCCGCGGUAGCCCCGGGUUAUAAACAUUCUACUCCAAAUUUCAUCGGCCCAGCAAUAGUGGCUUAAUAAACACUGACUUUCGCAAUUCGUUUAUUAGUAUAGAAAUUGUGAUAUCUAUGGUAUAGAAGUAGAAAUUAAUAAUUGUAUGAUGCCUGUUUAACCCUUUUGCCUAUAAUUCAAUUCCAUUGCCUUUUUAUGUUAUUCAAAGUAAAUCGUCAAAUUAACUGUCACUGUCAUUGAUAUGAUAAUUUAACUUUGACAAUUUUUUAUGAUGGCGGGAAUCUGGAAUUAUCAAUUUAACUCUCUACUUAGACUCUUAUCUUUGUUUAUUCGCUUCGUUUGUACUUUUGUUUUGUGUAACGUAGAUUAAACUUAAACAAAAUAUGUUUUAUUGUUUUGUUUUGUGAAUUCUUCAUAAGUUAAAUCAUUCCUUCUUUUUGAAAAUUGGUUUAGGUAACAACUUACAGAAAAACAAAUGGAUCCAAUAUUUUCAUUUCCAUUUCCACCUUAUCCUAUCCAAGAAAAGUUUAUGAAAGAGUUAUAUUCAACGAUUGAGGAAUCUAAGCUGGGUAUCUUCGAAAGUCCCACCGGUACUGGUAAAUCUUUGAGUAUUUGCUGUGGAGCGUUGCAGUGGUUGAAGGACAAUAAUCAAAGAAUAAUCAGUAAUUUAGAGCAGGAUAUUUCAAAGCUGAAAUUAGAGAUUUCUAGUAACUCAAGCUCAGAUGACUGGCUUCAAGAAGAAUAUGAAAAAAUAAAAAAGAAUCAGGUGCUAGUGGAGCUACAAAAUAAAUUGGAUAAAAUCAAGAAGAGGAAUGAAAAGCUGAAUGAAAUGAAAAUAAGAGUUAAUAAAUUAAAGUUGAAUGUUAAUAACAAGACUGUUGAACACUACUUCCAUAAGACUGAUAAAAAUAAGAAAGAUGGUGAUAAGAAUAACAAACAGGAGAAUGCUUAUGAUGCAGAUGAUGAUCUUCUAUUAGAAGAGUUUUUGGAGAAAGAGGAAACAGAAAAUGAAUCUGAUUAUGAGGAUAUUAUAGAAAAAGAAGAUGAUUGUCAGAAUUGUAAGAUAUUCAUAGGCAGCAGAACACACAGUCAGCUGUCACAGUUUGUGGGUGAAGUCAAGAGGACCAUAUUCAAAGACACAAGAGUGGUUACUCUGGCUUCCCGCCAGCAUUACUGCAUUAACUCCAAUGUGUCAAAACUUAAGAAUGUUCAUCUUAUUAAUGAAAGAUGCUUAGAUCUACAAAAAUCAAAAACAAAAUCAACAGCAGUUGAUGAAGAUGGAAAGGUUUUGAAGAAAACCAAGGUCAAAUCUUGUUCAGGUUGCCCUUAUUACAACCAGGGCAACAUAGCUAGGCUGAAGGAGAGGAUGUUAGUGGAUAUUAUGGAUAUGGAGGAUAUUGUCAAGUGCGGGAAAGAAUUGAAGGCUUGUCCAUAUUAUGCUUCAAGAGCAGCAAUGGAUGAGGCAGAAGUAGUGCUAAUGAGUCACGCUGGGGUGGCCAGCUCCGGUGCCAGAACAGGAAUAUCCCUAAAUUUAAAAAACAAUAUUCUGGUUUUAGACGAAGCGCAUGGUCUCCCUGCAGCAUUAGAGAAUGCGAACUCUGCGCCACUUUCUGAAAAACAUCUAUCAUGCUUAAAAACUUGUUUGAAGUUCUAUGUGAAUAAAUAUAGUUCCAGGCUGAGCAGCAAGAAUUUGUUGACGCUCAAUCAGAUGGGAUUUGUUAUUGGGAAAUUAUUGGGGUUUAUAAAAUCAAGUAACAGCAGCAAUAAGGUUCAAGAAGAUAAAACAAUUUAUAUGUUAGAAGAUUUUGUAGUCAAAGCAGAUAUAGACCACAUGAAUUUCAGGCCUCUCAUAGAUUUCUGUAGAAAAACUAGAUUGGCUCCUAAACUACAUUCAUUUUCUAUGAGAUAUAACCAGGAAGUGCUUGAGAGCGAAAUACAGAAGGAAGAAAAUAAGAAAAACUCUUUUCAAAUGUUCAUGGAAAAUAUUAAAAAGAAAAAAAUAGGUGAUAACCAGCCAGUUGUAAAAGAAGAAACAAAAGAAAGCAAAGAGAAACCAGCGUUUUUGAAAGGCAAGCAAGAAAAUCAGACGCCUGAUGAGGUACAUUCAGAAGUAUCAGUGGGCACGGGACUGUACCAAGUAAUGGAGUUCCUAGAACUCUUAUGUGACCGCAGUGAAAACGGCAGAGUUUUGGUACAGACGGCGGAACAGAAUUCGGGUAGUUUGAAAUAUUUACUUCUAAACCCGACUGAACACUUCUCGGAUGUCAUCAAGCAAUGUCGCUCCGUGAUCCUAGCAGGCGGGACGAUGGAGCCAGUAUCGGAAUUCCUCCAACUCCUCACGGGCUCGGCGGCCGCCCGCGACGUCGUCAACGUCGUCAAGUGCGAACACGUUGUGCCCAGAGAUAAUGUACUUGCAUUGUGUGUGUCUAAAGGCCCUUCGCAGUUGGCGCUCAACUUCUCGUAUGAGAAUCGGAUGGCGAAGAAUAUGCUAGAAGAAGUGGGAAGAAUACUUCGAAACAUAUGUUCAGUAGUCCCCGGGGGGGUGGUGUGUUUCCUGCCCUCGUACACUUACGAAGAAGCGGUGUACCAAGCUAUGAAGAGCAGUGGGGUCUUGGAUACGAUUGGCAAGAAAAAGAGGAUAUUUAGGGAGCCCAAAUCUGCUACUGAUGUUGAUCAGCCACGAUUUGCAGGUGCUAAGCAAAUACGCGUCCGCCGUGAACAGUGCGGGCGCGCUGCUGCUCAGCGUCGUGGGCGGGAAACUCAGCGAGGGGCUCAACUUCUGCGACGACCUAGGCCGCUGUGUGAUGGUAGUAGGCAUGCCGUAUCCCAACAUCAGGUCCCCGGAACUGAAGGAGAAGAUGAGGUAUUUGGAACGCAGUGUGGGCCCCGGCGCUGGACACGUUUACUAUGAGAACCUCUGUAUGAAGGGUGUUAACCAAUGCAUUGGUCGAGCUGUGAGACAUAUUAACGACUAUGCUUGUGUACUAUUGGUUGAUGAAAGAUAUUCGAGGCCUCAAACUAUAAAUGCAUUGCCAUCUUUUGUACAAAGGUCCUUGCUCUCCAAUUGCAACUUUGGUAAUACCAUGGGGAAUAUAGUGAAGUUCUUCGCGAGACAUAAACAGAACGCGAAAUGAAAUGUAGAUUUAAAUAUUAUUUAUUUUAAAAUAAGUUCUCUAAUAAAUAUGCUUUACAAAA